RNAcentral lists this ribosomal RNA (246 nucleotides) under uncultured bacterium. RNAcentral's name for it is "partial 16S ribosomal RNA". It matches the Rfam family "Bacterial small subunit ribosomal RNA", at positions 524 to 769 of the family's 1533-position model. The record is from RNAcentral.
UACGUAGGGUGCGAGCGUUAAUCGGAAUUACUGGGCGUAAAGCGUGCGCAGGCGGCGCGUUAAGACAGGUGUGAAAGCCCCGAGCUUAACUUGGGAAUUGCGCUUGUGACUGGCGUGCUGGAGUGUGGCAGAGGGAGGUGGAAUUCCACGUGUAGCAGUGAAAUGCGUAGAGAUGUGGAGGAACACCGAUGGCGAAGGCAGCCUCCUGGGCCAGCACUGACGCUCAUGCACGAAAGCGUGGGGAGC